This 468-nucleotide ribosomal RNA is filed under the name uncultured bacterium. Its description in RNAcentral is "partial 16S ribosomal RNA". It matches the Rfam family "Bacterial small subunit ribosomal RNA", at positions 28 to 507 of the family's 1533-position model. The record is from RNAcentral.
GACGAACGCUGGCGGCGUGCUUAACACAUGCAAGUCGAACGGAAAGGCCCUGCUUUUGUGGGGUGCUCGAGUGGCGAACGGGUGAGUAACACGUGAGUAACCUGCCCUUGACUUUGGGAUAACUUCAGGAAACUGGGGCUAAUACCGGAUAGGAGCUCCUGCUGCAUGGUGGGGGUUGGAAAGUUUCGGCGGGUGGGGAUGGGCUCGCGGCUUAUCAGCUUGUUGGUGGGGUAGUGGCUUACCAAGGCUUUGACGGGUAGCCGGCCUGAGAGGGUGACCGGCCACAUUGGGACUGGGAUACGGCCCAGACUCCUACGGGAGGCAGCAGUGGGGAAUAUUGCACAAUGGGCGGAAGCCUGAUGCAGCAACGCCGCGUGCGGGAUGACGGCCUUCGGGUUGUAACCCGCUUUCGCCUGUGACGAAGCGUGAGUGACGGUAAUGGGUAAAGAAGCACCGGCUAACUACGUG